Pelobates cultripes (western spadefoot toad) is the source of this 225-nucleotide non-coding RNA. Lineage: Eukaryota; Metazoa; Chordata; Amphibia; Anura; Pelobatidae. The record is from the annotation of a GenBank genome assembly.
CAUACCAUUUGCAAAAGUCAACCCAAGGUAUUGCAAAUUGCAAAUCCAGUCAUUUUUAGUAGCCACUUAGUCACAAACACUGGUCAAAUUUUUUUUUUCUUUUUUAACACAAAAACAAAUAUGAACGCUAAUUGUGGCCAGUGUUUGUGACUAAGUGGCUACUUAAAAAGACUGGACAUACACCACUUGCAAUACCUUGGGUUGUCUACUUUUGCAAAUGGUAUG